RNAcentral lists this ribosomal RNA (447 nucleotides) under Aeribacillus sp. H01D005. RNAcentral describes it as "bacterial SSU rRNA". It matches the Rfam family "Bacterial small subunit ribosomal RNA", at positions 95 to 526 of the family's 1533-position model. The record is from RNAcentral. Lineage: Bacteria; Bacillati; Bacillota; Bacilli; Caryophanales; Bacillaceae.
GCGGCGGACGGGUGAGUAACACGUGGGCAACCUGCCCUGCAGACUGGGAUAACUUCGGGAAACCGGAGCUAAUACCGGAUAACACCGAAAACCGCAUGGUUUUCGGUUGAAAGGCGGCUUUUACCUGUCACUGCAGGAUGGGCCCGCGGCGCAUUACCUAGUUGGUGAGGUAACGGCUCACCAAGGCAACAAUGCGUAGCCAACCUGAAAGGGUGACCGGCCACACUGGGACUGAAACACGGCCCAAACUCCUACGGGAGGCAGCAGUAGGGAAUCUUCCGCAAUGGACGAAAGUCUGACGGAGCAACGCCGCGUGAGCGAAGAAGGUCUUCGGAUCGUAAAGCUCUGUUGUCAGGGAAGAACAAGUGCCGUUCGAACAGGGCGGUACCUUGACGGUACCUGACGAGGAAGCCACGGCUAACUACGUGCCAGCAGCCGCGGUAAUAC